CAGCGAGACAAAACCGAUUUGUAUGCUCACGAGUCACGACAGCCUUCUCCAGCUCCAACACCCCCAAUCCAACAAACGUUUGAAUCUUCCAUUCUUCGUCACGUACAACCGACCAAUCAAAUCAUCAUUCUCCUUUUCCUCCAAAGAUGAAGAAAUAAAUGAAGCAGUUGGAGAUGAGUCAAGCCUGGCAGAAUGCUACCCAUCUGAGCUGCCAUCAAACGAUGCACAAUGCAAUGAUGCAGUCUUGACAUACUCGCACUAUGUGGAAGUGCCUCACAUAAACCAGCAAUUCUCUUGGGAUUGUGGUCUUGCUUGUGUUUUGAUGGUUUUGAGUACCAUUGGCAUCAAUGACUUCAGUAUUCAAUCCUUGGCAGAACUAUGCAGAACAACAAGCAUUUGGACUGUUGAUCUGGCAUAUUUGCUGCAGAAGUUUUCAGUUCGAUUCUCCUACUUCACUGUAACAUUUGGGGCUAACCCGGACUUCUCUGUCGAGACAUUUUACAAGGAACAAUUGCCUAACGAUUUGGUUCGAGUAGAUAUGCUCUUUCAGAAAGCACGGGAAGCCGAAAUUAAUAUUCAGUGCAGAUCCAUCAGUGGGGAAGAAAUUUCCAUCUUGAUUCUUUCUGGGAAAUAUAUUGCAAUUGUACUAGUUGAUCAGUUCAAAUUGAGCCAAUCUUGGCUGGAGAAUGUUAUUGUUUCGGGCUUUAACAGCACUGGUUCAGGGUACACUGGACAUUAUGUUGUGAUAUGUGGAUAUGAUGCUGCUGCAGAUGAAUUUGAGAUCAGAGAUCCUGCUAGUUCGUGGAAGCAUGAGAGGGUCUCAGCAAAGCGACUGGACGAAGCACGGAGAUCCUUUGGCACAGAUGAAGAUCUUCUCCUGAUUUGUAUCGAGAGGAAUGAGCCGCAAAGUAGCUCAUCCUUAACAACUUCUCCAGACAGAAAUAUGGUUUCCUGAUGUUUUACCAUGCCUUUUAUCCACCUGUGCGGUAUAUGCUUCUUUGCACAUAUUACAAAUUGCUUGUGUACAGUUUGUACAAAGGAAAUGAUUUGGUCUCCAAUUUUUUCUUAAAAUGCACAGGUCCGCAAGUAUAGAAUUUAUUUUGUUCAGUAUGGUGUGAAUUGUGAAUAAAGCUCAUAUAUAAUUUAAGCCUAAUUUUGGUCUAAUGAAAAUUGGUUGGCUUGUUGGAUCCCCUUCUCGUCCUCCUGGGCUUUGGCUGUAAAAAGAUAGUAUUGGUCGAUUAUGACGCACAGGUUAGUGUUGAUUCUGCCCUUUUUACUGGGGUUUUGCAGCCUCAGUAGCUCCAAUUCUUGUUAAAUACAUGCAUGUGUGUCCUGACUUGUGUCUUCAAGAUUGUGUUCGUUAGUUCAUGACUUUCCCAGUUGGGCAUUAAAUCAAUGUAGCCUCAUAAUUAUCAAAUAAAUGCUGUGGACGUGAGAAGUCUGAAAAAUACUAACUGGAGUGUAUUGUUGGGCGCAAUUGUGAGAGUUCACCUGUCCAGGUAAACAGCCAGUUGCAUUAAAAAACUGAACACAAUUGUUUGUGCUGCUAAUACCGUGAAGGUGAUUUAUGACGCUUGGCAUUAUGUGAUCAUUUUCCUGUGUUUGGAUAGCUUCUGUUUCCCAAUACUUGAAUAAAUCCCAGAAAACUUUUUUAGUGUAAAUGAACGAAAGAUUCAUGAGCCUCUGAGCGGUCAACUGAUCCACCUGUGGUCUUUUGGAUGGUAUUUUUUAUGGAUUGAACUAGGAAACAAAUGUCUUUUGUCACAUUAUCCAGUUGAUUUCUUUGGGGUCAAAAACCCUUUUAAUUGUUUAUUGCAA
Molecule: RNA transcript, 1818 nt
Organism: Tripterygium wilfordii
Lineage: Eukaryota; Viridiplantae; Streptophyta; Magnoliopsida; Celastrales; Celastraceae
Gene name: guanylyl cyclase 1
Exons: 11
Source: RefSeq, a predicted model, not a curated record